AGUGGGGAAUAUUGGGCAAUGGGGGAAACCCUGACCCAGCAACGCCGCGUGAAGGAAGAAGGCUUUCGGGUUGUAAACUUCUUUUACCAGGGACGAAAAAGUGACGGUACCUGGAGAAAAAGCCACGGCUAACUACGUGCCAGCAGCCGCGGUAAUACGUAGGUGGCAAGCGUUGUCCGGAUUUACUGGGUGUAAAGGGCGUGUAGGCGGAGAUGCAAGUCAGAUGUGAAAUCCCCGGGCUUAACCCGGGAACUGCAUUUGAAACUGUAUCCCUUGAGUAUCGGAGAGGCAGGCGGAAUUCCUAGUGUAGCGGUGAAAUGCGUAGAUAUUAGGAGGAAC
Molecule: ribosomal RNA, 339 nt
Filed under: uncultured bacterium
Lineage: Bacteria
Description: bacterial SSU rRNA
Rfam family: Bacterial small subunit ribosomal RNA
Source: RNAcentral